CAAGUCGAACGGGAUCCAUGUUGUAGCAAUACUUCGGAAGAUCUAGUGGCGAACGGGUGAGGAACACGUGAGAAACCUGCCCCGGACUUUGGGAUAACAGUUGGAAACGAUUGCUAAUACCGAAUGCCGUCGCGAAGUGGCAUCACUUUGCGACGAAAGAAUUUCGGUCCGGGAGGGUCUCGCGGCCUAUCAGCUAGUUGGUGGGGUAACGGCCUACCAAGGCAUCGACGGGUAGCUGGUCUGAGAGGAUGAUCAGCCACACUGGGACUGAGACACGGCCCAGACUCCUACGGGAGGCAGCAGUGGGGAAUCUUGUGCAAUGGGCGAAAGCCUGACACAGCAACGCCGCGUGCGGGAAGAAGGCCUUCGGGUCGUAAACCGCUUUCAGCAGGAACGAAAAUGACGGUACCUGCAGAAGAAGGUGCGGCCAACUACGUGCCAGCAGCCGCGGUGACACGUAGGCACCAAGCGUUGUCCGGAUUUAUUGGGCGUAAAGAGCUCGUAGGCGGUUCAGCAAGUCGGGUGUGAAAACUCUGGGCUCAACCCAGAGCCUGCACCCGAAACUGCUGUGACUAGAGUUCGGUAGGGGAGCGGGGAAUUCCUAGUGUAGCGGUGAAAUGCGCAGAUAUUAGGAGGAACACCGGUGGCGAAGGCGCCGCUCUGGGCCGAAACUGACGCUGAGGAGCGAAAGCGUGGGUAGCAAACAGGAUUAGAUACCCUGGUAGUCCACGCCGUAAACGUUGGGCACUAGGUGUGGGUCUCUAACCAACGAGAUCCGCGCCGUCGCUAACGCAUUAAGUGCCCCGCCUGGGGAGUACGGUCGCAAGACUAAAACUCAAAGGAAUUGACGG
Molecule: ribosomal RNA, 851 nt
Filed under: uncultured bacterium
Lineage: Bacteria
Description: bacterial SSU rRNA
Rfam family: Bacterial small subunit ribosomal RNA
Source: RNAcentral